This is a non-coding RNA of Sporosarcina psychrophila, 67 nucleotides long. The record is from Rfam. NCBI's taxonomy places the organism in Bacteria, Bacillati, Bacillota, Bacilli, Caryophanales, Caryophanaceae.
UGAAAAUGAACACAGCCUAAGUUCGCCACAUCGUGUGGCAACGGCUGCGUGACCUACAUCCUGUAGG